GACGAACGCUGGCGGCGUGCCUAAUACAUGCAAGUUGAGCGCUGAAGGUUUGUACUUGUACCAACUGGAUGAGCAGCGCACGGGUGAGUAACGCGUGGGGAAUCUGCCUUUGAGCGGGGGACAACAUUUGGAAACGAAUGCUAAUACCGCAUAAAAACUUUAAACACAAGUUUUAAGGUUGAAAGAUGCAAUUGCAUCACUCAAAGAUGAUCCCGCGUUGUAUUAGCUAGUUGGUGAGGUAAAGGCUCACCAAGGCGAUGAUACAUAGCCGACCUGAGAGGGUGAUCGGCCACAUUGGGACUGAGACACGGCCCAAACUCCUACGGGAGGCAGCAGUAGGGAAUCUUCGGCAAUGGACGAAAGUCUGACCGAGCAACGCCGCGUGAGUGAAGAAGGUUUUCGGAUCGUAAAACUCUGUUGGUAGAGAAGAACGUUGGUGAGAGUGGAAAGCUCAUCAAGUGACGGUAACUACCCAGAAAGGGACGGCUAACUACGUG
This 497-nucleotide ribosomal RNA is filed under the name uncultured bacterium. RNAcentral describes it as "partial 16S ribosomal RNA". It matches the Rfam family "Bacterial small subunit ribosomal RNA", at positions 28 to 507 of the family's 1533-position model. The record is from RNAcentral.